UGUGGCAACACAUGGAGCUGACUGUUACUAAUCGAUCGAGGGCUUGACCAAA
This 52-nucleotide ribosomal RNA is filed under the name Roseburia inulinivorans. Its description in RNAcentral is "partial 23S ribosomal RNA". The record is from RNAcentral. Lineage: Bacteria; Bacillati; Bacillota; Clostridia; Lachnospirales; Lachnospiraceae.